Small nucleolar RNA from Lycium ferocissimum, 96 nucleotides. RefSeq annotates it as small nucleolar RNA snoR77. The record is from RefSeq and is a predicted model, not a curated record. Lineage: Eukaryota; Viridiplantae; Streptophyta; Magnoliopsida; Solanales; Solanaceae. The transcript has a single exon.
ACAUGUAUCUGCUCGUAAAUUAAAUUGCGUUUGCUCUUCAGAUUUGCUGAGAUUGUAAGAAAUCUCUGAAGCUGGUCUAGUAAGCUUUAGUACAUU